Molecule: ribosomal RNA, 484 nt
Filed under: uncultured bacterium
Lineage: Bacteria
Description: partial 16S ribosomal RNA
Rfam family: Bacterial small subunit ribosomal RNA
Source: RNAcentral
AUUGAACGCUGGCGGCAGGCCUAACACAUGCAAGUCGAGCGGAUGAAGGGAGCUUGCUCCUGGAUUCAGCGGCGGACGGGUGAGUAAUGCCUAGGAAUCUGCCUGGUAGUGGGGGAUAGCGUCCGGAAACGGGCGCUAAUACCGCAUACGUCCUGAGGGAGAAAGUGGGGGAUCUUCGGACCUCACGCUAUCAGAUGAGCCUAGGUCGGAUUAGCUAGUUGGUUGGGUAAAGGCCUACCAAGGCGACGAUCCGUAACUGGUCUGAUAGGAUGAUCAGUCACACUGGAACUGAGACACGGUCCAGACUCCUACGGGAGGCAGCAGUGGGGAAUAUUGGACAAUGGGCGAAAGCCUGAUCCAGCAAUGCCGCGUGUGUGAAGAAGGUCUUCGGAUUGUAAAGCACUUUAAGUUGGGAGGAAGGGCAGUAAGUUAAUACCUUGCUGUUUUGACGUUACCAACAGAAUAAGCACCGGCUAACUUCGUG